CUCUCUUUAAUGUUGGCGGGAAGAUCCGAUAACGUCAGUCGCGUGAAGGAGUACGCAAGAAGAUAUUGAGAGAAAUGUUCCGGUGUUUUUGUCCUUACGGUCACGGAUCGGGAUGAACGACGUGAGGAAGAUGUCUUGGACUGACAUGAGGGUGAUGGUUCCAGCGGAGAUGUAGUUUCGGGGGGGCGAGAGAGCGCUGUCACGGCCUGAAAGCUCAGCACACUUGAAGCUGGAAUCCAUUUAUUCCCCAGGCCAGGCCUAAUUACCCCUCUCUGCCACAGACUCUGAAAGCGACUUCUGGUUUUCUGUGCCGGAUCAAAGAAGACGGAUGUCGGGCGAUUGGGCCGCUGACAUAAUGCGCUGUGGCACGCAGCUCGCUUUUAUUAGCACAAGCCUGUUAUUUCCCGGCGACUCUAAGUGUGGACGGGCAGUGAUAAAUGCUGUCGCACACGCUUGAUGCGAUUCAUUUGUCAGAGGCCUGAAAAAGGUUAAUCAGUAUUCUCCAGCCGGGUUACGGCCCUCCGUCUCCCUCUCAGCAGUAAUUGUGCUCCUGUUACGGACAAACUCAGGCAGCUGGGGACCCGAGUUACGUGCAAUUAUAUUUCUGUCCAUCUGCGGGGGGAAAAUCCUAAUCAUAACGCUCACUUGACGUCGACUCGCUUUCAUAAUUUAUACUGCGAGUAUUUCACACGCAGACCUGCAUGACCAUGGGAAACGCUGGGGAAAAUCAAUGUAAAUUCAUAUUUCAUAAGGCCAUAAUUGCGUUUGAGAGUGUGCGGUGGUCGUUUGUUUCAGCUGACAGUACCAUACAUUUGAGCUCCGGCUCUUAUUUCAUCUCACAGGCCUUCGAUCUCCCAGCGCUCGUCUUUUUACCGAAAACAAGGGGUUUGUUGUCAAAGAAAAUGGGCCUUUUUUUUAACACUUGACAACGUUCUAUCAUCUGUGAAGUUAUCGAUUUGCCAGUGUUUUAACCAUCAAACUGGAUCUGUUUGAGCGACUCUGGUUUUUAAACAAUUUCUUUGACAGGCGAGGCGUCACAGCAAUUGCCCCGCUUUUAAAGACAGUAUUUCAAUUUGCCGAGAGCCCUUCAAGUGAAGCGCGGGGCCCCUUUGAAGGAGUAUCAGAGCGCCUUGGGGCCGACAGAGUUGUCACGCUACGAGCGAGCUAAAAAAUGGAGCGCCUUUGCUUUAUAGAUUGCUGUUAGGUCAACAAAACUUUGGCAGCAUUGAUUAACUUGACAGUGAAUGCGGCAGUACAUUUAUCACUAAUAGCCCGAGCGCAGAAAAUCUAAUAAGAGCCCAACAAUCCAGCGUCCGUCCAAAAAAACAGGAGCCAGACGUGCCCCGCUGUCAUUAAUUGAAGCUAAAAAGUGGAUUCUGUCUUAUCUGGCUCUCGCAGCGGUUAAAGAGUUCAGAAAGCCGGCUCGGGGAUUGUGUUGUUGGGACUCUGAUUUGCAUGAGCGGCUAUAAAACACUCUGACCGCACGUCACAGUUUCGCAGAGAGCCUCAUCGAUUAGUUGUCACCUGGGCAUCAGCUUCACUCCUAGGAUUCAAUUUUUUUUCCCGCCCGUUUUGCAUACGCUAUCGACCGCGAGCGGGUAAAUGAGCAGAACGCGCCGAGACCGGAGGAUGAAUUGUUUACUCGCAUAAAAAUAACCUUUCAAUAGCGGAAGAUGCAUGGCGCGGGCCCGGGCUGGCGUUCUGCUGCCCCAAGCAGAUGGCAUUCAGCUGCUAUUGAUCCGGCUCAGAACCGGCCCGUCCGUCCCAAAGCCCUCCUCCAAAUUAAGAGACACACGGCCGACCGCGACACUUCAUAAACGUCAGCCGUGUUUUCAGCCUGACGAAAGAUCACCUUCACUGCUAGUUUAACCCUCUACAACCUAAACGACUUUUUGAAACACAUCAGGCUUUUAUGGCUCAUAUAGUGAGAAUGUAGAGGACUCGAAAACGUUUUGAUGAUUGCGGUCUAAAUCAGUGAAGCGGCGGAUACUGAUCUAUGUCUCUGUAAAUGAUCAAACAUAUAAUGCAGCGCUGAUGGAGAGCUGAUGAAACACAGGCUCCUCAGAAGAUGUGAGAUGCUUUGGAACAGUGAAAGUAAAGCUCCUCAAAAGAUCAGAUUCUUUUAGAAAAUGACUGAUGGAGAAUCAGGUAAAGCUGAGCUGCUUCAGUCCAGUAAGAGUUCAUUUGGAGGAUGAUCUCGAUCAGAAUCAGUCCAGAUCUGACCCCAGAACCAGACGCUGAAGCUGGACGUAAGAGCUCUUACUGGAUAAAACAAUCUAAACUAUUAGUGUGAAGACGUGAGGAGACUGAGCUUCAAUGUGGAUCAUUUACAGGCCUUAGUAAUGUUUAUAUUAAAUAUGAUUUAUAGGAGUUUUUAUUAUUAAAAAAAU
This is a long non-coding RNA of Puntigrus tetrazona (Sumatra barb), 2390 nucleotides long. RefSeq lists it as uncharacterized. The record is from RefSeq and is a predicted model, not a curated record. Lineage: Eukaryota; Metazoa; Chordata; Actinopteri; Cypriniformes; Cyprinidae. The transcript has 4 exons.